RNAcentral lists this long non-coding RNA (697 nucleotides) under Marmota monax (woodchuck). Lineage: Eukaryota; Metazoa; Chordata; Mammalia; Rodentia; Sciuridae. The record is from RNAcentral.
AGGUGCUGUAUUUUCAGGUUUUCUUUGCUCUAAGGGAAAAUCCUAAAUUAUGCCAACAAUGUAAAGUAGACUUAGCCAUGAUAUCUGCAAUGAAGAGAGAAAAUCUUGGGGACUUACCUACUGAGGAGAAAGAAUCAGGAGAACCCAUAAAAUCUCCAUCUCCUGUUGGUGCACAACAACAGCCUUCCUGUCCUCCAUAUCCUGACCUCCCUAUGUCUGCCCCAACAGGCAAACCAAAUAUACUACCUCUCCAGGAGAUGCCAGGAGGAGAAUUUGGGCCAAAGUACAUACCCCCUCUCCCUUCAAGACCUAAGGCAGAUAAAAACUGACUUGGGGAGAUUUUCAGAGGACCCAGAUAAAUAUAUUGAGGUAUUUCAAAACUUAUGCCAGGUAUUUGACCUCACCUGGAAAGAUAUUAUGCUAUUACUCAACCAGACCUUGACUUUCAAUGAGAAAGAAGCAACUCUGAGAGCAGCUGAGGAAUUUGGGGAUGAACUACACCUCGCUCCUUCCCCAGCAGAACAGACUAGGAGCAAACCUAAUUACCCACCUGGAGCACAGGCAGUUCCCAGAAAUGAUCCUGAGUGGGACCCAAAUGACUAGCAAGAUGCUUGGAAAAUUAGCCAUUUCCAAGUGUUGAUCCUUGAGGCCCUUAGGAGAAUCAAGCAAAAGCCCAUUAACUAUUCUAAGAUUUCAG